GUGCUCACCUGGGCAGCACAUACACUCAAAUCAGAACGGCACAGAGAGGAUUAGCAUGGCCCCUGCAUAAGGAUGACAUGCAAAUCCAUGAAAGAUUCCACACUGUC
This 107-nucleotide small nuclear RNA is filed under the name Procavia capensis (Cape rock hyrax). Lineage: Eukaryota; Metazoa; Chordata; Mammalia; Hyracoidea; Procaviidae. The record is from RNAcentral.